RNAcentral lists this unclassified non-coding RNA (240 nucleotides) under soil metagenome. Its description in RNAcentral is "partial contains 5.8S ribosomal RNA, internal transcribed spacer 2, and large subunit ribosomal RNA". The record is from RNAcentral.
AACCUAGCACACCUGCGGUGUGUACCUGCGGAAGGAUCAUUACCGAGUGCGGGUCCGCGUGGCCCAACCUCCCACCCGUGCCUAUUGUACCCUGUUGCUUCGGCGGGCCCGCCAGCCUUCGGGCUGGCCGCCGGGGGGCGUCUCGCCCCCGGGCCCGUGCCCGCCGGAGACCCCAACAUGAACCCUGUUCUGAAAGCUUGGUGUCUGAGUGUGAUUGUUUGCAAUCAGUUAAAACUUUCA